RNAcentral lists this ribosomal RNA (253 nucleotides) under uncultured bacterium. RNAcentral's name for it is "partial 16S ribosomal RNA". It matches the Rfam family "Bacterial small subunit ribosomal RNA", at positions 524 to 776 of the family's 1533-position model. The record is from RNAcentral.
UACAGAGGUCUCAAGCGUUGUUCGGAUUCAUUGGGCGUAAAGGGUGCGUAGGCGGCGCGGUAAGUCGGGUGUGAAAUCUCGGAGCUUAGCUCCGAAACUGCAUUCGAUACUGCCGUGCUUGAGGACUGGAGAGGAGACUGGAAUUUACGGUGUAGCGGUGAAAUGCGUAGAUAUCGUAAGGAAGACCAGUGGCGAAGGCGGGUCUCUGGACAGUUCCUGACGCUGAGGCACGAAGGUCAGGGGAGCAAACGGG